Molecule: long non-coding RNA, 679 nt
Organism: Cebus imitator (Panamanian white-faced capuchin)
Lineage: Eukaryota; Metazoa; Chordata; Mammalia; Primates; Cebidae
Exons: 3
Source: RefSeq, a predicted model, not a curated record
UCUUCCACAUUUAUGGACUAGUUCCAUUCUGAAAAGAGUAAUCUUUUCCUCAUGAACUGGGGGUGAACUAUAAUAGUUCUACCUAAAGCGCAUGAAAAACAUUUAGUUGUCACCAAUAACGAUGUCAAAUGAUGUGCUUUCUCCACCCACCCCAGCCUCACAUCGUCAUAAACACAUGGCUUUUUAUGGAUUCAAUGUGGUAUAAUAAAUUACCAUGCUCAGAGUCAGGAUCAAUAUCAUAAUCCACUCAUGGAUUUACAUCUGCUGGGUGCACAGGACCAAUUUGAAGAAAUCACAGAAGACAGGGGACUCAGCCCAAUAUCCAUGUGUGAUAACUGGACCUUUGCAUAAAUAGAUUAAUGAUACCAGCUUGAGGAGAGUCCAUAGCUGUGGAACAGUCUUCACAGAAUGACCCUGGCUUAGAACUGCUUAUGAGACACACCCAGAAUCAAAGGCAUUGUUAUGAGGCACCUGUCCCUGAAGGAUAUUCUGUAGCCCAUGCAGAACCCUGUGAUAUAAAACAGAAAUGUACCAAAAAAACGAUUCAUAAGAAAAAUUAUCUCUACCCAGUGAGGAAAUAAUCUUUUCAAUGAUAAGAAUUUAAACAGUUUUGAUAAAGUCUGAUUUAUCUAUUUUUUUCUCUCUUGGUUCAUGGUUUCCAUAUUUUACCUAUGAAAUA